AGAACGAACGCUGGCGGCAUGCCUAACACAUGCAAGUCGAACGAGACCUUCGGGUCUAGUGGCGCACGGGUGCGUAACGCGUGGGAAUCUGCCCUUGGGUACGGAAUAACAGUUAGAAAUGACUGCUAAUACCGUAUAAUGACGUAAGUCCAAAGAUUUAUCGCCCAGGCAUGAGCCCGCGUAGGAUUAGCUUGUUGGUGAGGUAAAGGCUCACCAAGGCGACGAUCCUUAGCUGGUCUGAGAGGAUGAUCAGCCACACUGGGACUGAGACACGGCCCAGACUCCUACGGGAGGCAGCAGUGGGGAAUAUUGGACAAUGGGCGAAAGCCUGAUCCAGCAAUGCCGCGUGAGUGAUGAAGGCCUUAGGGUUGUAAAGCUCUUUUACCCGGGAUGAUAAUGACAGUACCGGGAGAAUAAGCUCCGGCUAACUCCGUGCCAGCAGCCGC
RNAcentral lists this ribosomal RNA (446 nucleotides) under uncultured bacterium. RNAcentral's name for it is "SSU rRNA". It matches the Rfam family "Bacterial small subunit ribosomal RNA", at positions 26 to 518 of the family's 1533-position model. The record is from RNAcentral.